RNAcentral lists this ribosomal RNA (253 nucleotides) under uncultured bacterium. RNAcentral describes it as "partial 16S ribosomal RNA". It matches the Rfam family "Bacterial small subunit ribosomal RNA", at positions 524 to 776 of the family's 1533-position model. The record is from RNAcentral.
UACGGAGGGUGCAAGCGUUAUCCGGAUUUACUGGGUUUAAAGGGUGCGUAGGUGGGUAGGAAAGUCAGUGGUGAAAUCUUCGGGCUUAACCCGGAAACUGCCAUUGAUACUAUUUAUCUUGAAUACUUUGGAGGUAAGCGGAAUAUGUCAUGUAGCGGUGAAAUGCUUAGAUAUGACAUGGAACACCAAUUGCGAAGGCAGCUUACUACACAGUUAUUGACACUGAGGCACGAAAGCGUGGGGAUCAAACAGG